This 1887-nucleotide long non-coding RNA is filed under the name Theobroma cacao (cacao). RNAcentral describes it as "long non-coding RNA (TCAC_LNC005805)". Lineage: Eukaryota; Viridiplantae; Streptophyta; Magnoliopsida; Malvales; Malvaceae. The record is from RNAcentral.
UUAUUAAUUUAUUAUUUUCCUUUUUAAAAGGCACAAAAAUCAGCCCAUCUUCCACCCCAUGGCCGGCCAAAUCAGCAAGAAGAGAGAGAAAAUAAAAACAAAACCCUAGAGAGAGAAAAUCAAAGAAAAAGUGUGAAUUUUCAAGGAAAUUAAGUGAAAAAUGUGAGAUUUUUUCUAUUAAGCUUGAGUUUUCUUAUUCCCAAGCAUUUCUCCUUAUUUUCCAUGAUUAAAUUGCAUGUUUUCAUGGUGAUUUAAUGGCUGGUCAUAUGGGUCUAGAGAGAGAAAAUUGUUGGUUUAAGUUGAUUUUGAUAUAUGUUAGUGUUUAGUUUUAGUUUAGCAUGUUAGUAAACAAAAUAUGUAGAAAAACAUUCAUUUUUCUCAUUACCUAGCCUUAGCUGAAUUUUCAAGUCAAUGGUGAGGAAGAAUGUGAUGUUAUUAUAGGUUAUUUGAUUAUGAAAUCAUGGUUUUUGAUAUGGAAAUUAAUGAAUUAUAGAAAGAAAAUCAAGUAGGAAAAAUUGUGACAAUGAUACACCAUUUUGGCCGAAUUUUUCCAAGAAGGAAUAUGAAUGUGGCUUUGCUGAUUUUUGGGUUAUUUGGCUGGACAUUGGUGAUUUGAAGCAUAAGAAAAAAGAAAUGGGAUUAAUUGGAGCUAAAUUGGAUGCGUAUUUUAAUUUAUCGGGUAAAAGACCGAAAUAGGUCAAUACGGUGUUUAGGCAAAAUUUAGACCUUUUGCAUUUCAUACCAUGCAUUAGUGAUCUAAAUUAGUUAGUUCAAUUUAAGGGCAACGUAGUAAAUUCCUUGAUUUUAUACUGUGUCAAGGUGGUGUGCCCUUCGACAAAGGCAAGGAAAUUACGCNUGUGAGUAAACCUAUUAUCGUCUAAAUUAUUUAGAGUAGUUUUUAUUCAAUUUUGUGAUUUGUGAAAAUUAUUUUAAAUGAUGAAUUUCUUGUUUUAUGAGAAGAAUAUGAAUUUAUAAAAUAAAUGGAAUUAUAAAAUAAAUUGAUUUGCAAAUAGAAUAUUGGAUUUGAAAAUUUGAGUAAUUGGAGACCAUGUGAUUUAUUGUAAAUUAUGAUUUGAAUUAAAUGACUUGUGAUAAAUUGGCAUGAUUGGUUGAAUUUAUACUUGUGUUAAAAAAUAUGAACUGUCUGUUUUGCCUUGAUAAAUUGGUUAGUAAUGUAAUUGCCAUGCUUUGCCAUUGAAAUUUGAUCAAUUGGUGGAUUAAAGAUUAGCUACUGCAAUGGCGAGGUUCCGUGGACCAGCCUAUUAGAGGGGCACGGUAAACUCCUUUAUAUUUUCACCUCGAUCGUAGAAGUGCGUAGGGUAUCUCCUGAGGUGGGCUUUUUGAGUGCACUUCACGUUAACCACCACGUGAAGUGAGACUCAGUCAACGCCAAGGAACGACUAUUUUUUUUUUAAAUAAAAACAAGUUUUAUGAUUAUAUAAAAUUUUUCACAGCCUUGACGGACUUGGUUGGGUACCCCUGGUCCAGGUGUCCCCGAGUACAGGAUUUGACAUGAGCCAAGUUUUGAGAAAUUCACGAGCUAUAUUUAUUAUUUGGUUGAAAUGAAUAUUCGUGUUGUGAGAAAUUUGCUAAAAUGAAGUAUUUUUAAUUGUCUUCCUUUACUCGCCUUUAGAUUAUUUAGAUGGUGUUUGUUUACUCACUGAGAUUUUAUAAUCUCACCCUUUUUUUUAUCCCAUCAUUUCAGGCCGGGUUAGCCUGUAGAUAGCAGACAUCGUCGAGAACUAUAGUUGGCCAUACUACUUCAAAAAUUGUAGGUUUACUGUCUUUACUACUUUUGUUCAUUUGUGGGCCCACGUAACACUGUAAAUUAAAUUUCAUACUUUGGUUUUUCGUAUUAUAGUUUGUAUAAAUAUAUUUAACUUCUAC